CUUUUAAUUAAUGUGUUGACAACUUCAUAAUUUAGAAACAAAAUUAUUUAAAAAAUAAACUACCCACAUUAAUUCAUUAAACAUACGGUUACCAACAACCCCUAAAUAUUUGCCCCUUUCUAUGUGUGCACUACCUACAAUUAUCCACUUUAUUUUCAUUAAAAUUUAUUUUUAUUAUUCUUUUAAAAAAAAUAAAUACCCACUAUUUUUUUUAGCAAAAAAAUACCCACUAUUUUAGUUAUACGUUUCUAUUUUCUUUUUUUUCCUUAUACAAUUCUGCCAUUAUUUUUUGUUAGCAUAUCCAGUUUUCUUCCUACAUUAUUAUCUUCAAUUAUCACUUAAUUGUUCAGUAAUAUACAGACAUCUUCAGUCUCACAAAAAAAAUAUAUAAAAAAAUCAUGUACUUAUGAACCGUACUAUCAGUUGUCAUGCCUUCAGCCAAGGAUUUGAUUGUUUGACUAUGGUAAACAUCAAAAAUUCUACUCUAUCCGUACUGAAGUAGCUAGGAUUACUAAUUCACGAACACUUUAUUCAUACACAAGUGACAUUAUCCUCACAAAGGUAUGGAAAAUCAUAGGUCAUCUAUGUCAUACUAUCGAAGACUAGCAUGGGAAAUGAUGACCGCUAAACAACUUAAACAAGAAGCUAUUGCCCGAAAUGCUCGAAGGCGGUCUACUUAUAAUUUAAGGAGAAAUGCUCGACAACAAGACCGUGCUUCUACUCUAUUGGAUAUUACUAAUCAAGACAUCACAACUAACACAUACACUACUUCAAAUCAUGCUUCAAGAUGCACACGUGAUGAGUGACAUUUACGUCACUCUUAAGGAGUAGUUUUAGAGUCUUUUUCGUGUUUAUUUUCCCUU
Molecule: long non-coding RNA, 863 nt
Organism: Chenopodium quinoa (quinoa)
Lineage: Eukaryota; Viridiplantae; Streptophyta; Magnoliopsida; Caryophyllales; Amaranthaceae
Exons: 3
Source: RefSeq, a predicted model, not a curated record